CUGUGAUAGCUUGUGCCCUGAACGCCUGUAGAAUGAGAGCAGGGACGCUCAGCCGAAGGUAACCUGUUGCUCACUAAUGACCAAGUAGUGCCCAUGUGCUGCCUCAUAUCAUGAUGGAUAAUUAGAUGAAGCAAGGUCAACUAUAGCAGUAAUAAUAAAAUAAGCAUGGAAACAAAUUGCAGCCCAGGACAGAGUACAUAAUUUGCAGCAACUACAAGCAAAAAGUAAGUCUGUGAUUACAUAAUAGUAAAACCAAGCACAUCUGUCCUUUCAGCA
Long non-coding RNA from Mauremys reevesii (Reeves's turtle), 276 nucleotides. RefSeq lists it as uncharacterized. NCBI's taxonomy places the organism in Eukaryota, Metazoa, Chordata, Testudines, Geoemydidae. The transcript is spliced from 2 exons. The record is from RefSeq and is a predicted model, not a curated record.